RNAcentral lists this ribosomal RNA (464 nucleotides) under uncultured Pelotomaculum sp. Its description in RNAcentral is "bacterial SSU rRNA". It matches the Rfam family "Bacterial small subunit ribosomal RNA", at positions 920 to 1382 of the family's 1533-position model. The record is from RNAcentral. Lineage: Bacteria; Bacillati; Bacillota; Clostridia; Eubacteriales; Desulfotomaculaceae.
CCCGGCACAAGCGGUGGAGCAUGUGGUUUAAUUCGACGCAACGCGAAGAACCUUACCAGGGCUUGACAUCCCCUGACCGCGUAUGAAAGUACGUUUUCACCUCGGGUGACAGGGAGACAGGUGGUGCAUGGUUGUCGUCAGCUCGUGUCGUGAGAUGUUGGGUUAAGUCCCGCAACGAGCGCAACCCCUACGUUUAGUUGCUAACGCGUGAAGGCGAGCACUCUAGACGAACUGCCGUUGACAAAACGGAGGAAGGUGGGAUGACGUCAAAUCAUCAUGCCCCUUAUGUUCUGGGCUACACACGUGCUACAAUGGCCGGUACAGACGGACGCAAAGCCGCGAGGUGGAGCAAAUCCUAAAAAGCCGGUCUCAGUUCGGAUUGCAGGCUGCAAUUCGCCUGCAUGAAGUCGGAAUCGCUAGUAAUCGCAGGUCAGCAUACUGCGGUGAAUACGUUCCCGGGCCUU